This 295-nucleotide ribosomal RNA is filed under the name Clostridioides difficile. RNAcentral's name for it is "partial 23S ribosomal RNA". It matches the Rfam family "Bacterial large subunit ribosomal RNA", at positions 1373 to 1665 of the family's 2925-position model. The record is from RNAcentral. Lineage: Bacteria; Bacillati; Bacillota; Clostridia; Peptostreptococcales; Peptostreptococcaceae.
CCCUGGGUUAGUCGGGACCUAAGCUGAGGCCGAAAGGCGUAGGUGAUGGACAACAGGUUGAUAUUCCUGUACUACCGAUAACCGUUUGAGAGAAGGGAUGACACAGUAGGAUAAGCUAAGCACACUGGUGGUUAUGUGUGCCCAAGCAUUGAGGCAGUCAAAGUAGGCAAAUCCGCUUUGAUAAUGCUGGGAUGUGAUGGGGAGCGAAAUUUAGUAGCGAAGUAGCUGAUUUCACACUGUCAAGAAAAGUCUCUAUCGAGGUUAAAGGUACCCGUACCGCAAACCGACACAGGUG